UACGGGGGGGGCAAGCGUUGUUCGGAAUUACUGGGCGUAAAGGGCUCGUAGGCGGCCAACUAAGUCGGACGUGAAAUCCCUCGGCUUAACCGGGGAACUGCGUCCGAUACUGGAUGGCUUGAGUUCGGGAGAGGGAUGCGGAAUUCCAGGUGUAGCGGUGAAAUGCGUAGAUAUCAGGAGGAACACCUGCGGUGUAGACGGCUUACUGGACCAUAACUGACGCUGAGGCACGAAAGCGUGGGUAGCAAACAGG
Molecule: ribosomal RNA, 253 nt
Filed under: uncultured bacterium
Lineage: Bacteria
Description: partial 16S ribosomal RNA
Rfam family: Bacterial small subunit ribosomal RNA
Source: RNAcentral